AAGUGCAGAGCUAGGCUUUUCCUCCCAAGGAAGCGCACCUCCCAACAAUAGUGAAGGGACCACGCAAAGAUUUUGAUGACCCGCCUGGUGUCUUUAGAGCUAGGUCCCAAAAUCUCAGUGUGCCCCGGAAGACGCGGCCUCAGCGAUAACGGGGCUUCCGGGAACAACGUCAUCCUGUUGCCGCUGCUGAGUUGUCGCUUCGCGCCAGCACAGGGCUGAAGGCACAGUCCGCUACACGGCCAAGCCCGUGCUGGGAGGAGGGCACUCCUCGGGGCUGAAGUCCAGGGAACACCGCCACGCUGCUUAGCCUGGGUCCCAGGGGCUGCAGGAAGGUGGACCUGAGACCGGCAGCAUGAAAUCUAGAGCGGGGGCGGGGAGGGGGAAGAAGGUUGGGAUUGAUCAGUAAAGGAAAAUCCAAACCCAGGCCAGAACUUCAGCCCCGAAUAUCUCACCGGGGCUUUAAGAGCAGCCCCGACAUCACCCCCACCCCACCCCCAGCCAGCCAGCCAGACGCCCCGAUCGAGUCACUGGCUCCAGAAAGGGCAGUCAACGGCUCCGGUUUCCCAAGAGAACACUCUGCCAUCUGUGGGAUGCCCCCCACCCCGUGUGUGGCUGUGAGUUGGAUUUUCACCCCGGUUAUUCGGAGAAUCCUCCUAGAGCGCGGUCCAGUCUCAGCUGGGGAUUCCAAUCAGAAGUUUGAGCUAUCAGACAGAUGUUAGAAGCAGAGUGCCUCUGAGGCUUGUGCUAGAAGGAGAGAGCUCCCCAUCCCCCCCUACCCCCCAUCUCCUGGGCCCAGGCCUCUCCAAGCAAGAGACAUUUGGACAGAGACACCAGUGACAAGGAGCAGCCUACGUCCUCCAGACACAGGAAGCGCAAGAGCCCUGAGGCAGGAUGGAGAGUUGUGUGCUCAAAGCACAGAAGGGAGAUCGUGUGGCUAAAGCGCAGUAAGGGCAAGAAAGAGAGAGGACCGGACUCUGAGUCUGUGCACGGGACCGUUAUGAAGGCUGGGGGCUUGGCCUGCAGACAGCCCCCCACCGCCACGUACAGGAAGCAGAAUGAGCAGAAGGCCUCACGUCCUGGGGUACUGCAAAAGUCAGCUCCAUCAAGGAGGUCCUGGGAGCACAGUGCAAAUCAGAGCAUCCCAGACUGAGCCACCCUGAAGAGCCACUAAACUUUGUGAACAGCAUCCAAGGCAGCAAGGCCAGGAGGAGGCAUCGGUGAGGAAAAGAGGGCCUCGUCCAUCCUCAGGCUUAGCUCCAGCCCUCUGCUCACUUCCCUCAUGGCAACAAAACUCAAGAUUCUGAACAACAUCCACCUGCCCUCCCCCGCCCCAGCCAGGCCUGCCCCCUCUCCGAGAAGGCGUGUUUUCAUUGAGACCAUCUCCGAUGGAGCCAAACAACUCACACCGAGCACGACCAACGAUCAAAGUGGGGGGUGGCUUAGACCCACAUGACCAGAAUUGGCUAGCAUGAUGUGUCCAGUGGAGAGUUUUGCUAAAAGAGGCCCACAGUGGCGCCACAGACAGACCCUUAGCUACGGCCAGGCUCACGGGCACCAUGGUACGACAGAAAUAAAACUAAAUUAUAUCACUUGUCAUCAUUAAGAAAAAUUUUCAUCUCUGUUCUUCAUUUGAAAAGCACUAUAUUUAAUGAAUGAGUACUGAGUCAUGACACGUAAAUGACUAAAAUAUAGGAAUUAUACUGAGGUCAACUAACGUAAUUUUAAACCAUGAAAUUAAGGGACCUAUUCGUGGCUGUCGAUGGUGCCACUCCCAGUCAUUAUCAUGCUCUGCAAGGCUGCUGUGAGCACUGGGAAGGGUGGACAGUUCCACAAGAGGCAGACCCAAGUUUCCAGGCAA
Long non-coding RNA from Neofelis nebulosa (Clouded leopard), 1858 nucleotides. RefSeq lists it as uncharacterized. The transcript is spliced from 3 exons. Lineage: Eukaryota; Metazoa; Chordata; Mammalia; Carnivora; Felidae. The record is from RefSeq and is a predicted model, not a curated record.